Long non-coding RNA from Eriocheir sinensis (Chinese mitten crab), 923 nucleotides. RefSeq lists it as uncharacterized. The transcript is spliced from 2 exons. The record is from RefSeq and is a predicted model, not a curated record. Lineage: Eukaryota; Metazoa; Arthropoda; Malacostraca; Decapoda; Varunidae.
GGUGAAUCCCGGAGGUAAAAUACCAUUAUCAGAAAGGUCAGAAUCUGUGGAUCCCAUCCCAUCCCAUCACUGUACAUGGCAAACUCACUACAUAUAUCCAAGAGAGAGUCCUUUAUGCAUCACAACUAGCCGUGUGAAUGAACCUCUAGGCCUAUCUUGUUCUUGAUAAUAAUGCGCAGGGCACCAGUACAGGUGCAUAACACGCAUAUUUGUGUUGGCUGUUGGGGGGGCAGGGAUGCAUGUAUUUAGGCCUAAGGUUGUCAAUUAGUGUAUUUCAGAUGUGGAACAACAGCGAAGGUCACGAGGAAGCAAGGAAAAGAAAAGAAAGCAGAGGUGUCCACACGCGGGACACUUGUCCUUUUACAGAACCCACCAAUAUUUCCGCCUGCGGGUCAGUUGUCCUUUAGGGGUUAAGCAACUCUAGUCAGGAGUACAUUUGCCUUAAUACACCUGUGUUUCCUUGCUCCUCCUUUUCCUAACAACAAAAAUGUCCCCAAAAUUAUUACAGGCAAACCUUACUUAAUGAAUAGGUUAUGAUCUUGAGAAACCGUUUCCCAGCCAAAUAUUCAUUGCUUGAAGCAAUUAUUACAGGGGUUCAAUGGAGUUUGAUUCCAUGAUCUCAAUUUUUCCCCAUCUAAACCUUUCUUUUUCUAUAUUUGCUAAAUCUUCCUUCAGUAUUUUAAUACAGGUAACUCUCGAUUUACGCGAGUAUUGUGUCCUUGAAGAGGUCGCGUAAAUCAAAAACAAUGUAAAUCAAACAAGAGGUAGGUUUCUAUCAAAAAAUAAAUAUUCACUUCAUUCAGUGGAGAGAGAGAGAGAGAGAGAGAGAGAGAGAGAGAGAGAGAGAGAGAGAGAGAGAGAGAGAGAGAGAGAGAGAGAGAGAGAGAGAGAGAGAGAGAGAGAGAGAGAGAGAGAGAGAGAGA